ACACACACACACACACACACACACACACACACACACCUCUUUAAGGCUAUGCCCUCAUCCAGGUUCCCUCUCCAUCUCCUCAAAACACAAGCCACACACACUGCUCCUCAGAAGUAUGUGGGUGGAGCUUCCUGCCUCAUCAGACCAUCUGACGGGGAAGCACAUUCUUACCGUUCUGUUUCUGCCUGACAGCAGAACUGAGCCUUGGAAAGCUAGUACACGAGUGUGCCCAUGACUGCGGAGGCCGAGGAAGCUCCAGAAGGGUGGCCACACAUAGGUGCUGGGGCCUCACACAUAAGCAGCAUAGUGCCCCCAAGGACCACAGCCAUCUGUACAUGAUUGCCUCCUGGAGGGGUUUGGUAGGAUUGAUGGAGCAAGAGGUCAAGGGCUGCCCGUGGCAGGUGGAAAGUCAUGGUAUUUCCUCUUCCUGCCUCUCAAACUCACCUUAGAAACUACUGAUCCUCCCACUGCCCCAGCUGAUGCUUUGAACUUUCUCAAAAAACUUGUGUUUGAGCAACUGGAUUUCACAGAUACCUGAAUGGUCACUUAGGGCCAUCCUUGGACCUGUCCCUUGGACAUGUCUUCUGCUGAAACAUCCUCCAUGGCCUCAACCACAGCUGAGUGACAGGAAGGUGAGACAGGGACUGUUCUCUGGCAGUGAGGAAUGAAGGAAGUCUUACAUUGUGUAGGUUAUGAGCUCUUGAGAGCAGGCAGGAGGUAAAUGGGAUAAGGACAGAGCUAGAAGUCCUAUGAAUAUGGAGGGGAUAUACAGAGGUGCGUGUGUCCGCCCCGGAGUAGGGUAGCCACAAGAAGUGUAUGUGUACACAAGUGCGUGCGGAACUCGGGCUGAAGGGAGUGACCCUGCAAAUGUGACUUUCCAGAUAACAAGACUCUUCUGAGCCAGCUCUGACAACUGAUCUCUUCCCUGCCUGUCCACCUGGGGUGUGUGUGUGUGUGUGUGUGUGUGUGUGUGUGUGUGUGUGUGUAUUUUCAUAU
Long non-coding RNA from Rattus rattus (black rat), 996 nucleotides. RefSeq lists it as uncharacterized. The record is from RefSeq and is a predicted model, not a curated record. NCBI's taxonomy places the organism in Eukaryota, Metazoa, Chordata, Mammalia, Rodentia, Muridae. The transcript has 3 exons.